This 468-nucleotide ribosomal RNA is filed under the name uncultured bacterium. Its description in RNAcentral is "partial 16S ribosomal RNA". It matches the Rfam family "Bacterial small subunit ribosomal RNA", at positions 28 to 507 of the family's 1533-position model. The record is from RNAcentral.
GACGAACGCUGGCGGCGUGCUUAACACAUGCAAGUCGAACGGAAAGGCCCUGCUUUUGUGGGGUGCUCGAGUGGCGAACGGGUGAGUAACACGUGAGUAACCUGCCCUUGACUUUGGGAUAACUUCAGGAAACUGGGGCUAAUACCGGAUAGGAGCUCCUGCUGCAUGGUGGGGGUUGGAAAGUUUCGGCGGUUGGGGAUGGACUCGCGGCUUAUCAGCUUGUUGGUGGGGUAGUGGCUUACCAAGGCUUUGACGGGUAGCCGGCAUGAGAGGGUGACCGGCCACAUGGGUACUGAGAUACGGCCCAGACUCCUACGGGAGGCAGUAGUGGGGAAUAUUGUACAAUGGUCGGAAGCCUGAGGCAGCAACGCCGCGUGCGGGAUGACGGCCUGCGGGUUGUAAACCGCUUUCGCCUGAGACGAAGCGUGAGUGACGGUAAUGGGUAAAGAAGCACCGGCUAACUACGUG